This 668-nucleotide ribosomal RNA is filed under the name uncultured bacterium. RNAcentral describes it as "bacterial SSU rRNA". It matches the Rfam family "Bacterial small subunit ribosomal RNA", at positions 140 to 826 of the family's 1533-position model. The record is from RNAcentral.
GGGACAACAGCCAGAAAUGGCGACUAAUACCGCAUAAGCCUGCUGUGCCGCAUGGCACAGCAGGGAAAACCACGGUGGUACAGGAUGGGCCCGCGUCUGAUUAGUUAGUUGGCAGGGUAACGGCCUACCAAGACAACGAUCAGUAGCCGGCUUGAGAGAGUGGACGGCCACAUUGGGACUGAGACACGGCCCAGACUCCUGCGGGAGGCAGCAGUGGGGAAUAUUGCACAAUGGGGGGAACCCUGAUGCAGCAAUGCCGCGUGGGUGAAGAAGCACUCCGGUGCGUAAAGCCCUGUCAGCAGGGAAGAAAAUGACAGUACCUGGACAAGAAGCCCCGGCUAACUACGUGCCAGCAGCCGCGGUAAUACGUAGGGGGCAAGCGUUAUCCGGAUUUACUGGGUGUAAAGGGAGCGCAGGCGGCGUGGCAAGUCAGAUGUGAAAACCCGGGGCCCAACCCCGGGAGUGCAUUUGAAACUGCCAUGCUGGAGUGCCGGAGAGGUAAGCGGAAUUCCUAGUGUAGCGGUGAAAUGCGUAGAUAUUAGGAGGAACACCAGUGGCGGAGGCGGCUUACUGGACGGUAACUGACGCUGAGGCUCGAAAGCGUGGGGAGCAAACAGGAUUAGAUACCCUGGUAGUCCACGCCGUAAACGAUGCAUAAUGGGUACAGG